This 129-nucleotide non-coding RNA is filed under the name Dunaliella tertiolecta. Lineage: Eukaryota; Viridiplantae; Chlorophyta; Chlorophyceae; Chlamydomonadales; Dunaliellaceae. The record is from RNAcentral.
AAUCGCAGCUGCUGCCCGGCUUGCCCCGGUUUGUGGCUUUUCUCGUCACUUUGGUGGCAGACCCCAACUUCAAGAUUGCCAUCUCCAGCAUGCAAAUACUCAGUGACCUUGUGGGCAUUGCGGGACCUG